This 538-nucleotide ribosomal RNA is filed under the name uncultured Glomeromycotina. Its description in RNAcentral is "SSU rRNA". It matches the Rfam family "Eukaryotic small subunit ribosomal RNA", at positions 552 to 1096 of the family's 1831-position model. Lineage: Eukaryota; Fungi; Glomeromycota. The record is from RNAcentral.
AGGGCAAGUCUGGUGCCAGCAGCCGCGGUAAUUCCAGCUCCAAUAGCGUAUAUUAAAGUUGUUGCAGUUAAAAAGCUCGUAGUUGAAUUUCGGGGUUCUACCGUUGGUCGGGCUUUGUCUGUACUGGCGUGUAGAAUUUCUACCUUCUGGGGAACCAUUAUGUUAUUAAUUUAGCGUAGUGGGAAACCAGGACCUUUACCUUGAAAAAAUUAGAGUGUUCAAAGCAGACUUAUGUCUGAAUACAUUAGCAUGGAAUAAUAGAAUAGGACGGUGGUCCUGUUUUGUUGGUUUCUGAAUCACCGUAAUGAUUAAUAGGGAUAGUUGGGGGCAUUAGUAUUCAAUUGUCAGAGGUGAAAUUCUUGGAUUUAUUGAAGACUAACUUCUGCGAAAGCAUUUGCCAAGGAUGUUUUCAUUAAUCAAGAACGAAAGUUAGGGGAUCGAAGACGAUCAGAUACCGUCGUAGUCUUAACCAUAAACUAUGCCGACUAGGGAUCGGACGAUGUUAAUUUUUCUUGACUCGUUCGGCGCCUUACGGGAA